Molecule: transfer RNA, 59 nt
Filed under: Pterygodium catholicum
Lineage: Eukaryota; Viridiplantae; Streptophyta; Magnoliopsida; Asparagales; Orchidaceae
Description: partial tRNA-Leu
Source: RNAcentral
AUCCGUCGAAUUUUAAAAUCGUGAGGGUUCAAGUCCCUCUAUCCCCAAGAAAAAGCCCA